Molecule: long non-coding RNA, 282 nt
Filed under: Mytilus galloprovincialis (Mediterranean mussel)
Lineage: Eukaryota; Metazoa; Mollusca; Bivalvia; Mytilida; Mytilidae
Source: RNAcentral
UGGGCAAAUUUUACUAUGUAUGAAUACAUGCAUUUUUAUAGGUCCCUUUUUUUGGUCAUUUACCUCAUUGUAUUUCUAUGCACUUGUGCAUUCCAGGCUUAGAAAUGUUCAGUUUUUUGGUGUUUCUUAUGUAUACAAAUCCAUAAAAGAGGGACGAAAGAAAUCUGUAUUACCCAUCAAUGGAUCGAUAACACUACCAGAAUAGUAGUCAGUAUCUUUGUACAUAAAAAGUAAAAUGACAAAAAUACAGAACUCCGAGGAAAAUUCAAAACGGAAAGUCCC